This 1191-nucleotide long non-coding RNA is filed under the name Chrysemys picta bellii (western painted turtle). RNAcentral's name for it is "lncRNA (ENSCPBG00000016316.1)". Lineage: Eukaryota; Metazoa; Chordata; Testudines; Emydidae. The record is from RNAcentral.
CUAUACACAAAUGCAAGAAGCCUGGGAAACAAGCAGGGAGAACUGGAAGUCCUGGCAUAGUCAAGGAAUUAUGAUGUGAUUGGAAUAACAGAGACUUGAUGUAAUAACUCACAUGACUGGAGUACUGUCAUGGAUGGAUAUAAACUGUUCAGGAAGGACAGGCAGGGCAGAAAAGGUGGGGGAGUUGCAUUGUAUAUAAGAGAGCAGUAUGACUGCUCAGAGCUCCAGUAUGAAACUGCAGAAAAACCUGAGAGUCUCUGGGAUUAAGUUUAGAAGUGUGAGCAACAAGGGUGAUGUCGUGGUGGGAAUCUGCUAUAGACCACCAGACCAGGGGGAUGAGGUGGACGAGGCUUUCUUCCAGCAACUAACAGAAGAUACUAGAUCACAGGCCCUGGUUCUCAUGGGGGACUUCAAUCACCCCAAUAUCUGCUGGGAGAGCAAUACAGGGGUGCACAGACAAUCCAGGAAGUUUUGGGAAAGUGCAAGGGACAAUUUCCUGGUGCAAGUGCUGGAGGAACCAACUAGGGGCAGAGCUCUUCUUGACCUGCUGCUCACAAACAGGGAAGACUUAGUAGGGGAAACAAAAGUGGAUGGGAACCUGGGAGACAGUGACCAUGAGAUGGGUGAGUUCAGGAUCCUGACACAAGGAAACAAGGAGAGCAGCAGAAUACAGACCCUGGACUUCAGAAAAGCAGACUUUGACUCCCUCAGGGAACUGAUGGGCAGGAUCCUCUGGGAGAAUAACAUGAGUGGGAGAGGAAUCCAGGAGAGCUGGCUGUAUUUUAAAGAAUCCUUAUUGAGGUUGCAGGAACAAACCAUCCUGAUGUGUAGAAAGAAUAGUAAAUAUGGCAGGCGACCAGCUUGGCUUAACAGUGAAAUCCUUGCUGAUCUUAAACACAAAAAAGAAACUUACAAAAAGUGGAAGAUUGGACAAAUCACCAGGGAGGAGUAUAAAAAUAUUGCUCAGGCAUGCAGGAGUGAAAUCAGGAAGGCCAAAUCACACCUGGAGUUGCAGCUAGCAAGAGAUGUUAAGAGUAACAGAAGGGUUUCUUCAGGUAUGUUAGCAAAAAGAAGAAAGUCAAGGAAAGUGUGGGCCCCUUACUGAAUGAGGGAGGCAACCUAGUGACAGAGGAUGUGGAAAAAACUAAUGUACUCAAUGCUAUUUUUGCCUCUGUCUUCACAAACAAGGUC